Molecule: ribosomal RNA, 497 nt
Filed under: uncultured bacterium
Lineage: Bacteria
Description: partial 16S ribosomal RNA
Rfam family: Bacterial small subunit ribosomal RNA
Source: RNAcentral
GAUGAACGCUGGCGGCGUGCCUAAUACAUGCAAGUCGAGCGAACGGACGAAUAGCUUGCUUCUCUGAUGUUAGCGGCGGACGGGUGAGUAACACGUGGAUAACCUACCUAUAAGACUGGGAUAACUUCGGGAAACCGGAGCUAAUACCGGAUAAUAUUUUGAACCGCAUGGUUCAAAAGUGAAAGACGGUCUUGCUGUCACUUAUAGAUGGAUCCGCGCUGCAUUAGCUAGUUGGUAAGGUAACGGCUUACCAAGGCAACGAUGCAUAGCCGACCUGAGAGGGUGAUCGGCCACACUGGAACUGAGACACGGUCCAGACUCCUACGGGAGGCAGCAGUAGGGAAUCUUCCGCAAUGGGCGAAAGCCUGACGGAGCAACGCCGCGUGAGUGAUGAAGGUCUUCGGAUCGUAAAACUCUGUUAUUAGGGAAGAACAUAUGUGUAAGUAACUGUGCACAUCUUGACGGUACCUAAUCAGAAAGCCACGGCUAACUACGUG